AUGGACUGGACCUGGACAACCCUGCUCCUGGUGGCCGUGGCUACAGGUGUCCAUUCCCAGGUGCAGCUGAUACAGCCUGGGGCUGAGGUGAGGAAGCCUGGGGCCUCAGUGAAGGUCUCCUGCAAGGCUUCUGGGUACUCCUUCACCAGCUAUGGUAUGAAUUGGGUGCGACAGGCCGCGGGAAAAAGUCUCCAGUAUAUUGGCUGGAUCAACACAAACACUGGGAAACCAACGUAUGCCCAGGGCUUCUCAGAACGAUUUGUCUUCUCCAUGGACACCACUGUCAGCACAGCCUUUCUGCAGAUCAAUGACCUCAAGUCUGAGGACUCGGCCGUGUAUUACUGUGCGAGGGACACA
Non-coding RNA from Miniopterus natalensis, 357 nucleotides. NCBI's taxonomy places the organism in Eukaryota, Metazoa, Chordata, Mammalia, Chiroptera, Miniopteridae. The record is from the annotation of a RefSeq genome assembly.